This 66-nucleotide transfer RNA is filed under the name Jacobsonina aliena. RNAcentral's name for it is "tRNA-Phe". The record is from RNAcentral. Lineage: Eukaryota; Metazoa; Arthropoda; Insecta; Blattodea; Blattellidae.
ACUUGAAUAGCUUAUUUUUAGAGCAUAGUACUGAAGAUACUAAGGAGAUAUUUAUAUCUUUGGGUA